Molecule: ribosomal RNA, 398 nt
Filed under: uncultured bacterium
Lineage: Bacteria
Description: partial 16S ribosomal RNA
Rfam family: Bacterial small subunit ribosomal RNA
Source: RNAcentral
AAUAUUGCACAAUGGGGGAAACCCUGAUGCAGCGACGCCGCGCGAGCGAAGAAGGCCUUCGGGUCGUAAAGCUCUGUCCUAAGGGAAGAAGAAGACGGUACCUUAGGAGGAAGCCCCGGCUAACUACGUUCCAGCAGCCGCGGUAAUACGUAGGGGGCGAGCGUUAUCCGGAAUUACUGGGCGUAAAGGGUGCGCAGGCGGCCAUUUAAGUCAGAUGUGAAAGGCUACGGCUUAACCGUAGUUAGCAUUUGAAACUAGAAGGCUUGAGUGCAGUAGAGGAGAGUGGAAUUCCUAGUGUAGCGGUGAAAUGCGUAGAUAUUAGGAGGAACACCAGUGGCGAAGGCGACUCUCUGGACUGCAACUGACGCUGAGGCACGAAAGCGUGGGUAGCGAACAGG